Molecule: ribosomal RNA, 450 nt
Filed under: uncultured bacterium
Lineage: Bacteria
Description: partial 16S ribosomal RNA
Rfam family: Bacterial small subunit ribosomal RNA
Source: RNAcentral
GUGGGGAAUAUUCCGCAAUGGACGAAAGUCUGACGGAGCAACGCCGCGUGAGUGAUGAAGGUUUUCGGACUGUAAAGCUCUGUUGUUUAGGACGAAAGUGCCUGUUGCAAAUAGUUACAGGUAUUGACGGUACUGAACGAGGAAGCCACGGCUAACUACGUGCCAGCAGCCGCGGUAAUACGUAGGUGGCAAGCGUUGUCCGGAAUUAUUGGGCGUAAAGAGCGUGUAGGCGGGAAUCUAAGUCUGUUGUGAAAAUGCGGGGCUCAACCCCGUAUUGCGAUGGAAACUGGGUUUCUUGAGUGCAGGAGAGGAAAGGGGAAUUCCCAGUGUAGCGGUGAAAUGCGUAGAUAUUGGGAGGAACACCAGUGGCGAAGGCGCCUUUCUGGACUGUGUCUGACGCUGAGAUGCGAAAGCCAGGGUAGCGAACGGGAUUAGAAACCCGGGUAGUCC